UUUAUGACCUUGUCUUUUGAAAUGUGUCUGUUCUUUAUUUAUAUAGAUAUAUAUAGAACAGACACAUUUCAAAAGACAAGGUUAUAAAAAUAAUAUA
This is a non-coding RNA of Pelobates cultripes (western spadefoot toad), 97 nucleotides long. The record is from the annotation of a GenBank genome assembly. NCBI's taxonomy places the organism in Eukaryota, Metazoa, Chordata, Amphibia, Anura, Pelobatidae.